This is a non-coding RNA of Azospirillum brasilense, 73 nucleotides long. Lineage: Bacteria; Pseudomonadati; Pseudomonadota; Alphaproteobacteria; Rhodospirillales; Azospirillaceae. The record is from Rfam.
UCCGGAUUAGCUCAGUCGGUAGAGCAGCGGACUGUUAAUCCGCGUGUCGCUGGUUCGAGUCCAGCAUCCGGAG